GGGGAAUUAGGGUUCGAUUCCGGAGAGGGAGCCUGAGAAACGGCUACCACAUCUAAGGAAGGCAGCAGGCGCGCAAAUUACCCAAUCCUAAUACAGGGAGGUAGUGACAAGAAAUAACAAUACAGGACUUUUUGGUUUUGUAAUUGGAAUGAGUGAAGUAUAAACCCCUUUACGAGUAUCAAUUGGAGGGCAAGUCUGGUGCCAGCAGCCGCGGUAAUUCCAGCUCCAAUAGCGUAUAUUAAAGUUGUUGCAGUUAAAAAGCUCGUAGAUGGAUUUCUGUUGUAUAUUCCUAAAUA
RNAcentral lists this ribosomal RNA (296 nucleotides) under Cryptosporidium muris. Its description in RNAcentral is "partial 18S ribosomal RNA". It matches the Rfam family "Eukaryotic small subunit ribosomal RNA", at positions 364 to 661 of the family's 1831-position model. The record is from RNAcentral. Lineage: Eukaryota; Apicomplexa; Conoidasida; Eucoccidiorida; Cryptosporidiidae.